This 661-nucleotide ribosomal RNA is filed under the name Salmonella enterica. RNAcentral describes it as "partial 23S ribosomal RNA". It matches the Rfam family "Bacterial large subunit ribosomal RNA", at positions 1 to 677 of the family's 2925-position model. The record is from RNAcentral. Lineage: Bacteria; Pseudomonadati; Pseudomonadota; Gammaproteobacteria; Enterobacterales; Enterobacteriaceae.
GGGUUGUGAGGUUAAGCGACUAAGCGUACACGGUGGAUGCCCUGGCAGUCAGAGGCGAUGAAGGGCGUGCUAAUCUGCGAUAAGCGCCGGUAAGGUGAUAUGAACCGUUAUAACCGUCGAUACCCGAAUGGGGAAACCCAGUGUGAUUCGUCACACUAUCAUUAACUGAAUCCAUAGGUUAAUGAGGCGAACCGGGGGAACUGAAACAUCUAAGUACCCCGAGGAAAAGAAAUCAACCGAGAUUCCCCCAGUAGCGGCGAGCGAACGGGGAAGAGCCCAGAGCCUGAAUCAGCAUGUGUGUUAGUGGAAGCGUCUGGAAAGGCGCGCGAUACAGGGUGACAGCCCCGUACACAAAAGCGCAUGUGCUGUGAGCUCGAUGAGUAGGGCGGGACACGUGGUAUCCUGUCUGAAUAUGGGGGGACCAUCCUCCAAGGCUAAAUACUCCUGACUGACCGAUAGUGAACCAGUACCGUGAGGGAAAGGCGAAAAGAACCCCGGCGAGGGGAGUGAAAAAGAACCUGAAACCGUGUACGUACAAGCAGUGGGAGCCCCACCACUAAGCCAGUGGUGAACUCCACAUACGCAUCCUUUGCUGAGGAUACGGUUAACGGAGCGAAAGCGACGUUAAACCGCAAAAGAAGCAGAGGGGGCUUAGUGGUGG